This 893-nucleotide small RNA is filed under the name Medicopsis romeroi. RNAcentral's name for it is "eukaryotic LSU rRNA". It matches the Rfam family "Eukaryotic large subunit ribosomal RNA", at positions 42 to 949 of the family's 3401-position model. The record is from RNAcentral. Lineage: Eukaryota; Fungi; Ascomycota; Dothideomycetes; Pleosporales; Neohendersoniaceae.
AUCAAUAAGCGGAGGAAAAGAAACCAACAGGGAUUGCCCUAGUAACGGCGAGUGAAGCGGCAACAGCUCAAAUUUGAAAUCUGGCUCUAUUUUGGAGUCCGAGUUGUAAUUUGUAGAGGGCGCUUUGGCGUCGGCAGCGGUCUAAGUUCCUUGGAACAGGACGUCACAGAGGGUGAGAAUCCCGUAUGUGGUCGCGUGCCUUCGCCGUGUAAAGCCCCUUCGACGAGUCGAGUUGUUUGGGAAUGCAGCUCUAAAUGGGAGGUAAAUUUCUUCUAAAGCUAAAUACUGGCCAGAGACCGAUAGCGCACAAGUAGAGUGAUCGAAAGAUGAAAAGCACUUUGGAAAGAGAGUCAAAAAGCACGUGAAAUUGUUGAAAGGGAAGCGCUUGCAGCCAGACUUGCCUGCGGUUGCUCAUCCGGGCUCUCGCCCGGUGCACUCUUCCGUAGGCAGGCCAGCAUCAGUUUGGGCGGCUGGAUAAAGGCCUCUGUCAUGUACCUUCCCUCGGGAAGGCCUUAUAGGGGAGGCGUAAUGCAGCCAGCCUGGACUGAGGUCCGCGCAUUUGCUAGGAUGCUGGCGUAAUGGCUGUAAGCGGCCCGUCUUGAAACACGGACCAAGGAGUCUAACAUCUAUGCGAGUGUUUGGGUGUCAAGCCCGGGCGCGCAAUGAAAGUGAACGGAGGUGGGAACCCUUUGCGGGGUGCACCAUCGACCGAUCCUGAUGUCUUCGGAUGGAUUUGAGUAAGAGCAUAGCUGUUGGGACCCGAAAGAUGGUGAACUAUGCUUGAAUAGGGUGAAGCCAGAGGAAACUCUGGUGGAGGCUCGCAGCGGUUCUGACGUGCAAAUCGAUCGUCAAAUUUGGGCAUAGGGGCGAAAGACUAAUCGAACUAUCUAGUA